Molecule: ribosomal RNA, 467 nt
Filed under: uncultured bacterium
Lineage: Bacteria
Description: partial 16S ribosomal RNA
Rfam family: Bacterial small subunit ribosomal RNA
Source: RNAcentral
ACGAACGCUGGCGGCGUGCUUAACACGUGCCAGUCGCACGGAAAGGCCCUGCUUUUGUGGGGUGCUCGAGUGGCGAACGGGUGAGUAACACGUGAGUAACCUGCCCUUGACUUUGGGAUAACUUCAGGAAACUGGGGCUAAUACCGGAUAGGAGCUCCUGCUGCAUGGUGGGGGUUGGAAAGUUUCGGCGGUUGGGGAUGGACUCGCGGCUUAUCAGCUUGUUGGUGGGGUAGUGGCUUACCAAGGCUUUGACGGGUAGCCGGCCUGAGAGGGUGACCGGCCACAUUGGGACUGAGAUACGGCCCAGACUCCUACGGGAGGCAGCAGUGGGGAAUAUUGCACAAUGGGCGGAAGCCUGAUGCAGCAACGCCGCGUGCGGGAUGACGGCCUUCGGGUUGUAAACCGCUUUCGCCUGCGACGAAGCGUGAGUGACGGUAAUGGGUAAAGAAGCACCGGCUAACUACGUG